UCACACUUGUCACUCGUGAUCCAAUAGCCGGAGCCGGCGAAUUCCGUCGCCAUUGUCCUUCCAGUCGCGUAGACGGUACGCGCACGGCAGAGAAAUCGCACGGGACUGUCAGAACUCGGGGUGGACAGUAUCACGAAGAAAGUGAUAAGAAAAAGAACGAUUUCUCGGAGUGACCACCGCGGAUGUGGCGGAAGUAUUAAUUGCACGAUCGCUAUUUAUUUGCUCCCACCUCCCUGCCCGCCUGUAUCUCAUCGGGGAAAAUUGCCAUGGCGGUCAGAGUGUGCGUGCACUUUAUUAUGCAGCUCGUCAUCGUCGCAUCUGCAUCUAAUUUCAUUGCCGACGUCAGCCUGGACGAUCGCGAGGAGUGGGUCGUCAGGAUACAAGGGGGAUCACAAGUAUCGUCGCUAUUAGCCGCUCAGUCCGGCUACAAGCACCACGGUCCGGUUCUUGGAUUCAAGGACACAUAUAUAUGGCUUAAGGAUGAUAAUCCGAGCCAGAAGAAAAGAGGAAAUAUUCGCUUAACGAAGGCUCUUAAUGCAAACUCUAAGAUUAUCUGGGCGGAUCAACAGAAAACCGUAAAACGACUUAAACGCGAUUACAUCUCGUUAGCCGAUUUGGAAUCUGAAAAACCUUUAAUGCGAGAAAAACGUCUACAAUUAAACUUAUACGGAGAUGCAUUAAAUACCAUUAGCAACGAAAAUCAUAAUGCUGUCCAUAAAUUACGGAUAUUCAAUGACGAACUUUGGAAUCAACAAUGGUAUCUGCAAGACACAAGGACGAAUAAAGCUUUGCCGAAGCUCGACUUAAACGUUCUGCCUCUCUAUCGACUGGGGAUAACUGGUCGUGGAGUAAGAAUUGCUGUUCUCGACGAUGGUUUAGAAUACACACAUGAUGAUCUACGGAACAAUUAUGAUGCGGCUAUUAGUUAUGACAUAAAUGAAGGCGACGAUGAUCCUUUUCCAAGAUACGAUAAAUCAGGGAUGAACGGUCACGGCACCAGGUGUGCCGGCGAGAUAGGAAUGGAGGCCAACAACCAAAAGUGUGGCGUCGGUGUCGCCUUCGAGGCAUCCAUCGGGGGCAUCAAGCUCCUCGAUGGUCUGGUGAAUGACCGCGUGGAAGGCGAAGCUCUAGGAUAUAGAUCCGAGCUUAUUGACAUCUACACGGCUUCCUGGGGACCAGCGGAUGAUGGAAAAAGUUUGGAGGCACCUGGGAGGCUUGCUCUCGAAGCACUCGAACGUGGCAUAACAGAGGGUCGUAAAGGCAAAGGUAACAUAUAUGUAUGGGCUUCUGGGAAUGGUGGCUCUAAAUCGGAUGACUGCGGAUGUGACGGGUACGUUGGAAGUAUAUACACAGUGGCUGUCGGAUCAGCCAGCCAAACCGGAAGAUUUCCUUGGUAUGGGGAAAGAUGUCCUGCUACUCUUGCCACGACGUACAGCAGCGGCGCGUAUAACGAUCAAAUGAUAGCAACAACGGAUCUACGAAACACCUGCACAACUAGGCACACGGGUACUUCAGCUUCUGCCCCAUUAGCCGCCGGAAUAUUGGCUCUCGCGCUGCAAGUAAACAACGACUUGACGUGGAGGGACAUUCAGCAUCUGAUAACUUGGUCAUCAGAAUACAAUCCUCUCAGCGAAAAUCCGGGCUGGUUUAAGAACGCGGCUGGAUUUUGGUUUAAUUCACGCUUCGGUUUCGGACUUAUGAACGCAUACGCGCUCGUAAAGGCGAGCUACAACUGGACGACAGUGCCGGAGAAGACUAUUUGCAAAGUGGAUAACGCAUACAUUGCCAAUAACAGACUGAUUUAUGGAAAUUCCAAGAAACUGCAAUUCGAUGCCGGUAAUGUUUGUCGGACAUCGGGGAGCGAGAUAAUAUUUUUGGAGCAUGUGGAAGUCGAGGUGAAUCUCGAGUACUCUCGUCGCGGUGCGCUGCAGAUGCGUUUGGCUGCGCCUUCAGAAGAAAAAAGAACGAAAAGCUGAAGAAAUAACUCAGAAUGGUUGCAGAAUCGGUCGUCUUAUGUUCCUAAAUAGGAAAUUUGAGAGACUUCUAAAAAUACCAUGGACUACCGUUAAUAUUCUAAGUCCAAGGAAGCUAGAUAAUUCUAACGUUUUUAUAAAGUGGAAAUUCAUGUCCGUUGCGACGUGGG
RNAcentral lists this unclassified non-coding RNA (2143 nucleotides) under Monomorium pharaonis (pharaoh ant). RNAcentral's name for it is "neuroendocrine convertase 1, transcript variant X1". The record is from RNAcentral. Lineage: Eukaryota; Metazoa; Arthropoda; Insecta; Hymenoptera; Formicidae.